CUGCCAGCAGCCGCGGUUAUACCGAGGGUGCGAGCGUUAAUCGGAAUUACUGGGCGUAAAGCGCGCGUAGGUGGGUUGAUUAACCGGUUGUGAAAGCCCCGGGCUCAACCUGGGAACGGCAUCCGGAACUGUCAGGCUAGAGUGCAGGAGAGGAAGGUAGAAUUCCCGGUGUAGCGGUGAAAUGCGUAGAGAUCGGGAGGAAUACCAGUGGCGAAGGCGGCUUCUGGACUGACACUGACACUGAGGUGCGAAAGCGUGGGUAGCAAACAGGAUUAGAUACCCUGGUAGUCC
RNAcentral lists this ribosomal RNA (291 nucleotides) under uncultured microorganism. RNAcentral describes it as "partial 16S ribosomal RNA". It matches the Rfam family "Bacterial small subunit ribosomal RNA", at positions 505 to 796 of the family's 1533-position model. The record is from RNAcentral.